This 72-nucleotide transfer RNA is filed under the name Chloroflexota bacterium. Its description in RNAcentral is "Chloroflexi bacterium tRNA-Met". It matches the Rfam family "tRNA". From Rfam's summary of the family: Transfer RNA (tRNA) molecules are approximately 80 nucleotides in length. Their secondary structure includes four short double-helical elements and three loops (D, anti-codon, and T loops). Lineage: Bacteria; Bacillati; Chloroflexota. The record is from RNAcentral.
GGCAACGUAGCUCAGAGGCAGAGCAGGGGACUCAUAAGCCCUUGGUCGGUGGUUCGACUCCACCCGUUGCCA